RNAcentral lists this ribosomal RNA (434 nucleotides) under uncultured Ruminococcus sp. RNAcentral describes it as "partial 16S ribosomal RNA". It matches the Rfam family "Bacterial small subunit ribosomal RNA", at positions 341 to 792 of the family's 1533-position model. Lineage: Bacteria; Bacillati; Bacillota; Clostridia; Eubacteriales; Oscillospiraceae. The record is from RNAcentral.
ACGGAAGGCAGCAGUGGGGAAUAUUGCACAAUGGGGGAAACCCUGAUGCAGCGAUGCCGCGUGGAGGAAGAAGGUUUUCGGAUUGUAAACUCCUGUCUUAAAGGACGAUAAUGACGGUACUUUAGGAGGAAGCUCCGGCUAACUACGUGCCAGCAGCCGCGGUAAUACGUAGGGAGCGAGCGUUGUCCGGAUUUACUGGGUGUAAAGGGUGCGUAGGCGGGCUUGCAAGUCAGGCGUGAAAUACCGGGGCUUAACUCCGGGGCUGCGCUUGAAACUGUAAGUCUUGAGUGAAGUAGAGGCAGGCGGAAUUCCCAGUGUAGCGGUGAAAUGCGUAGAUAUUGGGAGGAACACCAGUGGCGAAGGCGGCCUGCUGGGCUUUAACUGACGCUGAGGCACGAAAGUAUGGGGAGCAAACAGGAUUAGAUACCCUGGUA